This 543-nucleotide ribosomal RNA is filed under the name Triticum aestivum (bread wheat). Its description in RNAcentral is "partial small subunit ribosomal RNA". Lineage: Eukaryota; Viridiplantae; Streptophyta; Magnoliopsida; Poales; Poaceae. The record is from RNAcentral.
AUGGAUCUCGUGCGCCAAGUUGAGGGCAAGUAUCCUGCAUUCCUUUUCAAGCAACAGCUUACAGCCUUUGUGGAAGGCUUAUAUGGAAUGAUCCGUGACAAUGUGAAGAGAGAAGUGUCUUCAGUACUCUCGCAUGUUAUUCAGGCGCCAAGAACUGCGAAGGCUGGUUUGCUAACAGAUCAACAUAGCUAUUGGAAAGUGAUAGUCGGCCAUUUCAAUGAUCUCCUGAAAAUCUUGCAAGAAAAUUGUGUCCCAACCAUUUUUUGUCGGAAGAUCUUUACACAGCUUUAUGCAUACAUCAACGCUCAACUCUUCAAUAGUCUUCUUGUACGGCGAGAGUGUUGUUCUUUCAGCAAUGGAGAAUAUGUGAAGCAAGGGCUUGAAGAACUGGAGACAUGGUGCACACAAGCCAAGCCAGAGUACGCAGGAUCUGCAUGGGAUGAACUUAAGCACAUAACCCAGGCUGUUGGCUUCCUGGUAUCUAACUACAAACUUGAGCAUGUAUUUUGUAUUUCGGCAUGGAUUCUUAACAACAUUUGUUAG